RNAcentral lists this unclassified non-coding RNA (410 nucleotides) under fungal sp. RNAcentral's name for it is "partial internal transcribed spacer region". The stretch from base 1 to 46 matches the Rfam family "Eukaryotic small subunit ribosomal RNA", at positions 1786 to 1831 of the family's 1831-position model. The record is from RNAcentral. Lineage: Eukaryota; Fungi.
AAGUCGUAACAAGGUUUCCGUAGGUGAACCUGCGGAAGGAUCAUUAAUACGCUUUUGUUUGUAACAAAACAAAACGUUUUAAACUCCAAAAGAAAUAGUGGAAAUAUAACUUCCGGAUGCGAAUGUUUGGGAACUGAGUAAAAUCGGUUCUUUGAAAAAGGGACUUCAAGCAAUUGACACUUCAGAGUAGAGCAGUGAGGUGAAAUUCUCUUUAUUGAGAGUUUGGUGCUGAAAAACAUUUGUAUCCGGUUAUCAUUCUGUUCUACAAAUUCUAUCAAACAAUAAACCCCAUGUACAACAACUCGAACUAAACAUUUUUUUGUUGUUUUCUUGCACUUGUGUGAGAAGAUACAACAAAGAAAAAAACCUGAACUUAAGAACAACUCUUAACAACGGAUAUCUUGGUUCUC